UAUGUGCCAGCAGCCGCGGUGAUACAUAGGCUUCAAGCGUUGUCCGGAUUUAUUGGGCGUAAAGAGUUCGUAGGCGGUCGAGUAAGUCGGGUGUGAAAAUUCUGGGCUCAACCCAGAAACGCCACCCGAUACUGCUUAACUUGAGUUCGAUAGGGGAGUGGGGAAUUCCUAGUGUAGCGGUGAAAUGCGCAGAUAUUAGGAGGAACACCAAUGGCGAAGGCAGGUCUCUGGGCCAAUACUGACACUGAGGAGCGAAAGUCUGGGGAGCAAACAGGAUUAGAUACCCUGGUAGUCCAGACCGUAAACGGUGGGCACUAGUUGUGGGAACCUUCCACGGUUUCUGCGACGCAGCUAACGCAUUAAGUGCCCCGCCUGGGGAGUACGAUCGCAAGAUUAAAACUCAAAGGAAUUGACGGGGCCCCGCACAAGCAGCGGAGCAUGCGGCUUAAUUCGACGCAACGCGAAGAACCUUACCAAGGCUUGACAUAUAGGGAAAAGUGGCAGAGAUGUCAUGUCCGCAGGGCUCUAUACAGGUGGUGCAUGGUUGUCGUCAGCUCGUGUCGUGAGAUGUUGGGUUAAGUCCCGCAACGAGCGCAACCCUCGUUCUGUGGUUGCCAGCAUUUAGUUGGGGACUCACAAGGAGACUGCCGGGGUUAACUCGAGGAAGGUGGGGAUGACCUCAAAUCAUCAUGCCCCUUAUGUCUUGGGCUGCACGCAUGCUACAAUGGCCGGUAC
RNAcentral lists this ribosomal RNA (735 nucleotides) under uncultured Actinomycetes bacterium. RNAcentral describes it as "bacterial SSU rRNA". It matches the Rfam family "Bacterial small subunit ribosomal RNA", at positions 502 to 1240 of the family's 1533-position model. The record is from RNAcentral. Lineage: Bacteria; Bacillati; Actinomycetota; Actinomycetes.